GAGAAUAUAAGUAAGCUACCAAAAUCAUUAACCCUUUAGAUGCUCACUGGAAUCUACACUCCUACAUACAUAGGUGGGCCAAAAUUGAAGUGGAGGAACUCAAGAGAGACAACACGGGUGUGCUAUAAAUAAAAAAAGUAAAAACUGUAUAUUAUAUUAAUAAUAACAAUAUAUUGAGGCCAUUAUCAAAGUGAAAUUCACAGUAAAUCUUUAUAAACAUACAGUAUGUUCACAGUUUUGGAGGCCAGAAUGAACGGCAGUGAAAAAGCAGUUGAGGAGCUCAAGAGAGAGAACGAAGAUCUUCUGGCUAGAAUAACAGCAAGUGAAAAUAAGAACAUGGUUUUGGAAGCCAGAAUGAGCUCCAGUGAAAAUGAGGUGGAAGAGCUCAAGAGAGAGAAUGCAG
Molecule: long non-coding RNA, 403 nt
Organism: Morone saxatilis (striped sea-bass)
Lineage: Eukaryota; Metazoa; Chordata; Actinopteri; Moronidae
Exons: 3
Source: RefSeq, a predicted model, not a curated record